RNAcentral lists this ribosomal RNA (400 nucleotides) under uncultured Campylobacterota bacterium. RNAcentral's name for it is "bacterial SSU rRNA". It matches the Rfam family "Bacterial small subunit ribosomal RNA", at positions 515 to 914 of the family's 1533-position model. The record is from RNAcentral. Lineage: Bacteria; Pseudomonadati; Campylobacterota.
CCGCGGUAAUACGGAGGGUGCAAGCGUUAUUCGGAAUCACUGGGCGUAAAGGACGCGUAGGCGGGUUGCCAAGUCUGAUGUGAAAUCCUAUGGCUUAACCAUAGAACUGCAUUGGAAACUGGUAACCUAGAGUAUGGGAGGGGGAGAUGGAAUUAGUGGUGUAGGGGUAAAAUCCGUAGAUAUCACUAGGAAUACCGAARGCGAAGGCGAUCUCCUGGAACAUAACUGACGCUAAGGCGUGAAAGCGUGGGGAGCAAACRGGAUUAGAUACCCYGGUAGUCCACGCCCUAAACGAUGAACACUAGUCGUCGGGAUGCUAGUCAUCUCGGUGAUGCACUUAACAGAUUAAGUGUUCCGCCUGGGGAGUACGGUCGCAAGAUUAAAACUCAAAGGAGUUUGG